AGUGCUUGAAAUCUCCCACAAUCGUAGGUCAUUUGUCUCAGGUAUACACUAUAUGCUCCACCGAUAAUUCCACAGUCAAGUCUAUGGGGCUGCUAAACCUGGAAUAUUAGAUUUUGUCGCGAGUGACACACUAAAGUCAUUGACUUCGUGAUUUCUACAUUUUCCCCAAUAUCUUUCAACACUAACUCGUGCCAAAUGUAAUCGCACUUUAUCUGUCCCGCGUAUGUCUCAGCCUGCUUUUGAAAUAAU
Molecule: long non-coding RNA, 249 nt
Filed under: Gossypium raimondii (Peruvian cotton)
Lineage: Eukaryota; Viridiplantae; Streptophyta; Magnoliopsida; Malvales; Malvaceae
Description: long non-coding RNA (GRAI_LNC010700)
Source: RNAcentral